GAAAUGCGAUAAGUAGUGUGAAUUCCAGAAUUCAGUGAAUCAUCGAAUCUUUGAACGCACAUUGCGCCCCUUGGUAUUCCAUGGGGCAUGCCUGUUCGAGCGUCAUUUGUACCCUCAAGCUCUGCUUGGUGUUGGGUGUUUGUCCCCGUCUCCGCGCGUGGACUCGCCCCAAAGUGAUUGGCAGCCGGCGUACUGGUCCCGGAGCGCAGCACAUGUCGCGCAAACGAGUGCCUUGGUACGGCGGCGUCCAUAAGCCCCUCUCUCACGCUCUUGACCUCGGAUCAGGUAGGGAUACCCGCUGAACUUAAGC
RNAcentral lists this unclassified non-coding RNA (310 nucleotides) under plant metagenome. RNAcentral describes it as "partial contains 5.8S ribosomal RNA, internal transcribed spacer 2, and large subunit ribosomal RNA". The stretch from base 1 to 105 matches the Rfam family "5.8S ribosomal RNA", at positions 50 to 154 of the family's 154-position model. The record is from RNAcentral.